GACGAACGCUUGCGGCGUGCUUAACACAUGCAAGUCGAACGGAAAGGCCCUGCUUUUGUGGGGUGCUCGAGUGGCGAACGGGUGAGUAACACGUGAGUAACCUGCCCUUGACUUUGGGAUAACUUCAGGAAACUGGGGCUAAUACCGGAUAGGAGCUCCUGCUGCAUGGUGGGGGUUGGAAAGUUUCGGCGGUUGGGGAUGGACUCGCGGCUUAUCAGCUUGUUGGUGGGGUAGUGGCUUACCAAGGCUUUGACGGGUAGCCGGCCUGAGAGGGUGACCGGCCACAUUGGGACUGAGAUACGGCCCAGACUCCUACGGGAGGCAGCAGUGGGGAAUAUUGCACAAUGGGCGGAAGCCUGAUGCAGCAACGCCGCGUGCGGGAUGACGGCCUUCGGGUUGUAAACCGCUUUCGCCUGUGACGAAGCGUGAGUGACGGUAAUGGGUAAAGAAGCACCGGCUAACUACGUGCCAGCAGCCGCGGUGAUACGUAGGGUGCGAGCGUUGUCCGGAUUUAUUGGGCGUAAAGGGCUCGUAGGUGGUUGAUCGCGUCGGAAGUGUAAUCUUGGGGCUUAACCCUGAGCGUGCUUUCGAUACGGGUUGACUUGAGGAAGGUAGGGGAGAAUGGAAUUCCUGGUGGAGCGGUGGAAUGCGCAGAUAUCAGGAGGAACACCAGUGGCGAAGGCGGUUCUCUGGGCCUUUCCUGACGCUGAGGAGCGAAAGCGUGGGGAGCGAACAGGCUUAGAUACCCUGGUAGUCCACGCUGUAAACGGUGGGUACUAGGUGUGGGGUCCAUUCCACGGGUUCCGUGCCGUGGCUAACGCUUUAAGUACCCCGCCUGGGGAGUACGGCCGCAAGGCUAAAACUCAAAGGAAUUGACGGGGCCCCGCACAAGCGGCGGAGCAUGCGGAUUAAUUCGAUGCAACGCGUAGAACCUUACCUGGGUUUGACAUGGAUCGGGAGUGCUCAGAGAUGGGUGUGCCUCUUUUAGGGUCGGUUCACAGGUGGUGCAUGGCUGUCGUCAGCUCGUGUCGUGAGAUGUUGGGUUAAGUCCCGCAACGAGCGCAACCCUUGUUCACUGUUGCCAGCACGUUAUGGUGGGGACUCAGUGGAGACCGCCGGGGUCAACUCGGAGGAAGGUGGGGAUGACGUCAAGUCAUCAUGCCCCUUAUGUCCAGGGCUUCACGCAUGCUACAAUGGCUGGUACAGAGAGUGGCGAGCCUGUGAGGGUGAGCGAAUCUCGGAAAGCCGGUCUCAGUUCGGAUUGGGGUCUGCAACUCGACCUCAUGAAGUCGGAGUCGCUAGUAAUCGCAGAUCAGCAACGCUGCGGUGAAUACGUUCCCGGG
RNAcentral lists this ribosomal RNA (1343 nucleotides) under uncultured bacterium. RNAcentral's name for it is "16S ribosomal RNA". It matches the Rfam family "Bacterial small subunit ribosomal RNA", at positions 28 to 1378 of the family's 1533-position model. The record is from RNAcentral.